Molecule: unclassified non-coding RNA, 658 nt
Filed under: Ogataea pinus
Lineage: Eukaryota; Fungi; Ascomycota; Pichiomycetes; Pichiales; Pichiaceae
Description: [Candida] pini sequence contains 18S rRNA gene, ITS1, 5.8S rRNA gene, ITS2, 28S rRNA gene
Rfam family: 5.8S ribosomal RNA (bases 317-470)
Source: RNAcentral
GAUCAUUACAGUAUUCUUUUCAAGCUGGAUCGAGUAUGAUUGGUUGUUUUUUGACCUGCGCUGCUGAAAUAUUGCUUGCGCGGUCAGAAAUAGCUGAAAGUCUCUUUCUAUUCCAAAAGCUUGGAAAACCUCCUACACACUUUGUUUUCUUAUUAGAGACAAAUUUGCUUUGGUCAGCUGCCGCGUAAAACCGGUGAUUGGCCAGAGGUUUACAAACAAAACUCUUGUUUUUUUUCAGCAAUGGAAGAAACGUGUUAUUAAAUUUACUUAGUCAUAAUUUAAAACGAAGUGUAACAGCUUCGAAACAAAAAAUUAAAACUUUCAACAACGGAUCUCUUGGUUCUCGCAUCGAUGAAGAACGCAGCGAAAUGCGAUAAGUAAUGUGAAUUGCAGAUUUUCGUGAAUCAUUGAAUUUUUGAACGCACAUUGCGCCCUCUGGUAUUCCGGAGGGCAUGCCUGUUUGAGCGUCAUUUCCUUCUCACAUCCCUUACUUUAUUGUAGGUGGAAGUGGUGUUGAGCUUAUACUCUGAGGAGUUAGCUCGAAAAGGAUUGGCAUGAGUUUUUGUUACGUACUGCUUUUGUUCAUCUUCAAUGUAUUAGGUUUAUUCCAUCGUUGAACGGAACACUUGCUGGUGGUAGCGAAGUUUAGGCUCUGCUU